CUACGGGUUGCAGCAGUGGGGAAUAUUGCACAAUGGGCGCAAGCCUGAUGCAGCCAUGCCGCGUGUAUGAAGAAGGCCCUCGGGUUGUAAAGUACUUUCAGCGGGGAGGAAGGGAGUAAAGUUAAUACCUUUGCUCAUUGACGUUACCCGCAGAAGAAGCACCGGCUAACUCCGUGCCAGCAGCCGCGGUAAUACGGAGGGUGCAAGCGGUAAUCGGAAUUACUGGGCGUAAAGCGCACGCAGGCGGUUUGUUAAGUCAGAUGUGAAAUCCCCGGGCUCAACCUGGGAACUGCAUCUGAUACUGGCAAGCUUGAGUCUCGUAGAGGGGGGUAGAAUUCCAGGUGUAGCGGUGAUAUGCGUAGAGAUCUGGAGGAAUACCGGUGGCGAAGGCGGCCCCCUGGACGAAGACUGACGCUCAGGUGCGAAAGCGUGGGGAGCAAACAGGAUUAGAUACCCUAGUAGUC
This 464-nucleotide ribosomal RNA is filed under the name uncultured bacterium. RNAcentral's name for it is "partial 16S ribosomal RNA". It matches the Rfam family "Bacterial small subunit ribosomal RNA", at positions 339 to 795 of the family's 1533-position model. The record is from RNAcentral.